This 1423-nucleotide ribosomal RNA is filed under the name uncultured bacterium. RNAcentral describes it as "bacterial SSU rRNA". It matches the Rfam family "Bacterial small subunit ribosomal RNA". The record is from RNAcentral.
AGAGUUUGAUCAUGGCUCAGGAUGAACGCUGGCGGCGUGCUUAACACAUGCAAGUCGAACGAACCUUCGGGUUAGUGGCGGACGGGUGAGUAACGCGUGGGAAUCUGCCCUCAGGAGGGGGAUAACGGUUGGAAACGGCCGCUAAUACCCCAUAUGCCGAGAGGUGAAAUGAAUUUCGCCUGAGGAUGAGCCCGCGUCUGAUUAGCUAGUUGGUGAGGUAAGAGCUCACCAAGGCAUCGAUCAGUAGCUGGUCUGAGAGGAUGAUCAGCCACACUGGGACUGAGACACGGCCCAGACUCCUACGGGAGGCAGCAGUGGGGAAUUUUCCGCAAUGGGCGAAAGCCUGACGGAGCAACGCCGCGUGAGGGAUGAAGGCCUCUGGGCUGUAAACCUCUUUUAUCAAGGAAGAAGAUCUGACGGUACUUGAUGAAUAAGCCACGGCUAAUUCCGUGCCAGCAGCCGCGGUAAUACGGGAGUGGCAAGCGUUAUCCGGAAUUAUUGGGCGUAAAGCGUCCGCAGGCGGCCCUUCAAGUCUGCUGUUAAAAAGUGGAGCUUAACUCCAUCAUGGCAGUGGAAACUGUUGGGCUUGAGUGUGGUAGGGGCAGAGGGAAUUCCCGGUGUAGCGGUGAAAUGCGUAGAUAUCGGGAAGAACACCAGUGGCGAAAGGCGCUCUGCUGGGCCAUCACUGACGCUCAUGGACGAAAAGCCAGGGGAGCGAAAGGGAUUAGAUACCCCUGUAGUCCUGGCCGUAAACGAUGAACACUAGGUGUCGGGGGGAAUCGACCCCUCCGGUGUCGUAGCCAACGCGUUAAGUGUUCCGCCUGGGGAGUACGCACGCAAGUGUGAAACUCAAAGGAAUUGACGGGGGCCCGCACAAGCGGUGGAGUAUGUGGUUUAAUUCGAUGCAACGCGAAGAACCUUACCAGGGUUUGACAUCCUGCGAAUCUCUUGGAAACUUGAGAGUGCCUUCGGGAGCGCAGUGACAGGUGGUGCAUGGCUGUCGUCAGCUCGUGUCGUGAGAUGUUGGGUUAAGUCCCGCAACGAGCGCAACCCACGUCUUUAGUUGCCAGCAUUUAGUUGGGCACUCUAGAGAGACCGCCGGUGAUAAACCGGAGGAAGGUGUGGAUGACGUCAAGUCAUCAUGCCCCUUACAUCCUGGGCUACACACGUACUACAAUGCUACGGACAAAGGGCAGCAAGUUCGCGAGGACAAGCAAAUCCCAUAAACCGUGGCUCAGUUCAGAUCGUAGGCUGCAACUCGCCUACGUGAAGGAGGAAUCGCUAGUAAUCGCAGGUCAGCAUACUGCGGUGAAUACGUUCCCGGGCCUUGUACACACCGCCCGUCACACCAUGGAAGUUGGCCACGCCCGAAGCCGUUACUCCAACCCUUGUGGAGGAGGACGUCGAAGGUGGGGCUGAUGAC